UACGUAAGGUGCGAGCGUUGUCCGGAAUUACUGGGCGUAAAGAGCUCGUAGGUGGUUUGUCGCGUUGUUCGUGAAAUCCCACGGCUUAACUGUGGGCGUGCGGGCGAUACGGGCAGACUGGAGUACUGCAGGGGAGACUGGAAUUCCUGGUGUAGCGGUGGAAUGCGCAGAUAUCAGGAGGAACACCGGUGGCGAAGGCGGGUCUCUGGGCAGUAACUGACGCUGAGGAGCGAAAGCGCGGGGAGCGAACAGG
RNAcentral lists this ribosomal RNA (253 nucleotides) under uncultured bacterium. RNAcentral's name for it is "partial 16S ribosomal RNA". It matches the Rfam family "Bacterial small subunit ribosomal RNA", at positions 524 to 776 of the family's 1533-position model. The record is from RNAcentral.